RNAcentral lists this ribosomal RNA (370 nucleotides) under Shigella flexneri. Its description in RNAcentral is "partial 23S ribosomal RNA". It matches the Rfam family "Bacterial large subunit ribosomal RNA", at positions 998 to 1366 of the family's 2925-position model. Lineage: Bacteria; Pseudomonadati; Pseudomonadota; Gammaproteobacteria; Enterobacterales; Enterobacteriaceae. The record is from RNAcentral.
CUAACGUCCGUCGUGAAGAGGGAAACAACCCAGACCGCCAGCUAAGGUCCCAAAGUCAUGGUUAAGUGGGAAACGAUGUGGGAAGGCCCAGACAGCCAGGAUGUUGGCUUAGAAGCAGCCAUCAUUUAAAGAAAGCGUAAUAGCUCACUGGUCGAGUCGGCCUGCGCGGAAGAUGUAACGGGGCUAAACCAUGCACCGAAGCUGCGGCAGCGACGCUUAUGCGUUGUUGGGUAGGGGAGCGUUCUGUAAGCCUGUGAAGGUGUGCUGUGAGGUAUGCUGGAGGUAUCAGAAGUGCGAAUGCUGACAUAAGUAACGAUAAAGCGGGUGAAAAGCCCGCUCGCCGGAAGACCAAGGGUUCCUGUCCAACGUU